GGCACCUCCGGCAAGGCGGCGGGCUACCAGGCCGCAGAGAACGGCGCACUGAAUUGCUUAUUUUUCCUUGCUGUGUGAUCUUCAGUUCUUCAUGAUGUUAUAGAGAUAUUUAUGUCAAAUCUACAGCUUGGGAUCCUCUCGUUCCUAUGCAGAAGCUGGAUAGAUUCCUGCUUUAACAUGUGCAUCUGUUAUUUGAUUAACAUAAUGUCAUUCGGUCUCGUACUAUUACCAUGUCAUAACUCAUAAAUACUGGUUAGGUUAAAAGGACCGUCUUUGCAGCUGAGGCUUAGCAAUCUAUAUAAAAUAUUUAAUUAUUUAUUCCAAACUGUUAUUAGCAUGGCUAUUGAUACUUUUGUCAUCCCACUUCCAUAUAAAAGGAGAAUCAUGAGAAGAGAACAUGUUGUGUGCCCCUAGUUUUAAUUUUCCUAUAUUAUAUUUAAGCAUUCAAUAUCUUCCUAUAUUGAAGUUGUUAUUUUACACUAAAUAUUUUCUGUAACAAAAAUGUAGCCGAAGAGGGUCUCGGAAGAGGGAACUACUCCACUGACCGAAGCACUUCAUGGCACCAGUUCAGGACUACCUGAAUGUACUACACUGGAGCGUGUCAAAGCUGCUUGUGGAGGUCUCGUAACUGUCCACCUUGACUUCAUGUUAAUACAUAUAGUUUUCUUGUAUGAAUUGCAUAGUCCAUAAGUUUUUGGUUUGACAUGAUCCAUAUCUACAUGCAUGCACAUAUGUAAAUUCUGCUAAUAGCAAAACUCCGUUGGUAAUAGCAUGGCUUAAUUAACUGACUGCGUCAAGUACCGUUGGAAGCCUGCUGCAUAGGUGGAGCUGCGUUGGUAAUAGCAAAACUCGGUUUGAAGCUUGUUGGCUGGUAUCUGGCAAGGCGGCGGACUUUAAUCUAUGUGAGAGUAUUAUGGACACGCCACAUGUUUUGGCUUUAACUCAAGGACCACAUUGCUUCUUGACUUUCUUGGAUGCUUGUUGGCUGCCCAAUCUUGAACUAUAUCUUUCUAAUAGUAGUAUAAAUCAGGCACAUACAUUUUUUUGUGUUGCUUACUAGAGUUAGUGUAUUUACUAAGUGUGUUUAGUCGAAUCAUCUGUCAUCCUUCUCUUAACUCACUUUUCCUCAUGAUAUUCAGUCCAUCGGGUUUUCGACUACUGUAUGUGUAUGCGUGCAGAUUUUCAGCACCUUAUCCUUGCUCGGUUCCCACGUGUGUUAGAUAUUUGUUCGGUUAUAUGCCAUCGAUCUGUAUUUUGUGCACCACACAGUCUUGUCUGUAGAAGUUAAUCAUGUUGUUUCUUUAGGAUUAGGAAAGAAAGCUAAACCGAGUCCUAGUAGUAUUAGGAUUCCUAGUCCUAGUCUAUUUCCAUAGUCCCUUGUGAACGCGUAUAAAAGACACCCUAGGGGUGUUGAUUGUAACACCAAAAAAACGAAAAGCAAUACAAAGCAAAGGCUCGACACGGGCCUUUAGCCAUCAAAUCCAUCGAUCAGUUUUAUUCGUGUCGCUAGUUACGCAAGUUCCGUCAAGUAGCCGGCCGAAGCAAGAAUCGCGUAGGCACGCCUGUACAGCUGCAUACGCACGUUCAAAAGCCAACAAUUGGUAUCAGAGCCUCGACGAUCUACGAUCUACGAUGACGGACAGCGACGCUGAGUCGGUUGAGUCCGGCAGCGGCGGUGCCAAGGCGAACAAGAACGGCGACAAGGUGAAGAAGGGCGUCAAGUCAGCAACCAGUGGUGGAGGAACGAGCGGCGCCAACGUCCAGGCGCAUCGCAACAUCCCCAUCCAGUACCCGAUGCUCACCGACGCCAACUACGUGUGUGGGCGGUGAAGAUGAAAAUUAUUCUCCGAACCCUUCGAGUGUUGCAGGCAAUCACGGACGACGACGUCGAUGACGAGUCCGACGAAGGUGCCAUGGCCGCCAUAGCCCAGUCCGUGCCGGAUUCCGUACUAAUGACAUUGGCGGAGUUCGAGACGGCAAGAGAGGCGUGGAACGCACUCAAGGAGAUGAGGAUCGAAGAAGAUCGCGUCACCAAGGCUCGGGCACAAGUGCUGAAGCGCCAAUUUCACAAGUUGCAAAUGAAGGAAACUGAAUCGGUGAACGACUAUGCCAUGCGUCUUACUACUUUGGUGGGAGAGAUCCGCGCGCUUGGUGCAAAGCUCGAUGAGACCGAGAUUGUGGAGAAAUUUUUCAGUUCGGUGACUGAUAAAUUCGCAUACAUCAUCGGCACGCUCGAGCAGCUUUACGACAUCGACGACAUGACCAUAACGGAGGCAAUCGGACGCUUGCGGACAUGGGAAGAGAAUGCUCGUGGCUGUCGGAAAGGCAAAGGAGGAGGUAGCGACCAACUCAUGUACUCGUGCGGAGAUUGGGAGGCCCCAAGUAGCAAAGGAAGGCGUGAUGGUGGCGAAGGCUCAAGCAACGUGAAGCGGACCAAUCUAAAGGAAAAGGCAAAGGAAAAGGCAAGCCACAAGGCCGUGCUAAGGCGGACCAAUCUAAAGGGCGGAAGCCACGGAACUUGGAUUUAUCCGAGGUUAAGUGCUAUAACUGCAACGAGAUGGGUCAUUUUGCAAAGGAUUGUCCGAAGCCUAACAAGCGGGAGAUCAAGGCAAAUUUGGCAAAGCAGGAAGACGAAGGCCCAGGUCUUCUGAUGGCCGAAGUUUGUGAUCUCGCUAAAACGGUGGUUGUGAAACCAACCCGGAAGGUGCUACUUCAUGAGAAGAAUGUGACACCUAAGUUAUCCGGGGAUCACAAUGGGUCGUGGUAUCUCGACACGGGUGCCAGUAACCACAUGACGGGAUGCAAGGAGAAAUUCCUCGAGCUGGAAUGCGAUGUUGAAGGCUCGGUCAAGUUCGGUGAUGGUUCAGCUGUGGAGAUUUGCGGGCAAGGAUCUGUCCUCUUCGAGGGUCUCACAGGCGAACAUCGCAUACUCACCGGAGUGUACUACAUCCCACGGCUUCGCAACAACAUUAUCUCUAUUGGGAAGCUUGACGAGAAUGGAUGCAAGGUCAAUAUCGAGAACGGAGUGAUGACGAUCUUCGACAACCUCCGAAACGUGCUAGCUCGUGUUAAUCGCACACGGAAUAGGCUCUAUAUCCUCAACCUUGAUCAAUCUCAACCGGAGUGUUGGCUCGUCAGGAGUGAUGAUGAUUCAUGGUUAUGGCAUGCUAGAUUUGGACACGUUAACUUCUAUGCCUUGAAGAAGAUGUCAAAGAUGGAGAUGGUAUCCGGGAUGCCAGUUAUCGACCAUGUUGAUCGAGUAUGUGACAGGUGCUUGGUUGGAAAACAGCACCGCAGGCCAUUCCCUGCUCAGUCUACCUAUCGUGCAAGUGAUGCACUCGAGCUGCUCCAUGGUGAUCUAUGUGGCCCUAUCACCCCGACAACUCACGCUGGAAAGAAGUAUUUCUUCCUUGUGGUAGACGACUACUCGAGAUAUAUGUGGGUCAUUCUCCUACAAUCUAAAGAUGAGACGUUUGACGCGUUCAAGAAGUUGAAGGCUGCAACAGAGAUGGAACACAAUUUGAAGGUUCGCGCUCUAUGGACAGAUCGCGGCGGAGAAUUUACGUCGAAUGAGUUCAACGACUACUGCGGGAAGAUUGGCAUAAAGAGGUUCCUCACGGCACCUUACACGCCGCAGUAGAAUGGGGUCGUUGAAAGGCGCAAUCGAACCGUCGUUGACAUGGCAAGGAGUUUACUCAAGAGCAAGAACCUGUCGGGGACUUUUUGGGGAGAAGCUGUCUCGACGGCGGUCUAUCUUCUCAACCGGGCUCCAACGAAGGCGGUGAUCGGCAAGACUCCGUAUGAAGCAAUUUACGGACGUAAGCCGAAUGUGUCUCAUCUACGGACAUUCGGGUGCGUGGCACAUGUGAAGACGGCGGAGCCACAUCUCUCAAAGCUUGCCGAUCGUAGCACCAAGAUGGUGUUCAUCGGAUACGAGAGCAGUUCUGGCACCAAGGCAUACCGUUUCUACGAUCCACAAACCAAGCGUCUACGGAUUUCACGCGACGUCGUGUUUGAAGAAAACCAAGCGUGGAAUUGGACCGCCGCAGCCGACAAUGCUCCAAACAGUAACAUAUUCACGGUUGAAUUUCCAAUUAAUGAUGAUGCAGGGGAGGAUGUCCAAGUGGUUGAUAAGACGCCCAACCAAGGUUACCACAAUGGUAGUGAUCAUCAUGGUGCCGACACCGACGACGACGUGCAUAGGUCGCAAGGAGAUAGCGACAACGAAGCGCACGGCACGGGUGGAGAUCUCGACGACAACAUCGACAAGGAGGCGCAUAGUGACGAUGACAAUCAAGAUGAUGAUCAUGAUCACGACGACUACGCCGACGCCGCGGAUGUCGAUGACACGCCCGAGACUCAGCCAUCUUCCUCAAGUGCAUCAACAUCGACACAAUUUGUGUCACCUCCUUCGCAAUCCACAACGGAAUCCUCAGGGCCUCGUCGCUACAAAGACCCUCAAGAAAGUCUACAAGUACACAAAGCCAGUUACGCUCGAAUACUCCAGACUAUGUCUUUUCGGAGUUGAGGAGCCGACGAACUUCGUAGAGGCGAGCAAAAGUCCUAGCUGGACGCACGCCAUGGAUGAGGAGAUGAAGGCGAUUGAGAGCAAUGGCACGUGGACUUUGGUAACCCGACCUCCAAACCAAAAGAUGAUAGGUUUGAAGUGGGUUUACAAGUUAAAGAAGGACACGGAGGGUGCCAUUGUGAAGUACAAGGCAAGACUCGUUGCAAAGGGCUACGUACAACGUCAAGGAGUUGACUAUGAUGAGGUGUUUGCACCGGUUGCUCGACUCGAGACGGUGAGAGUGCUCCUAGAUUUGGCAGCACAAGAGGAUUGGAAGGUUCAUCAUAUGGAUGUUAAAUCCGCUUUCCUUAACGGCGAUCUCACAGAAGAAGUGUACGUGGAACAACCCCUCGGCUACGAGAAGAAAGGCGAAGAAGGGAAAGUUUACAAGCUCAAGAAGGCACUUUACGGGUUGAAGCAAGCGCCAAGAGCUUGGAACUCAAAGUUAGACCAAAGUCUGGUCUCGCUCGGGUUCAAGAGAUGUCCCCUCGAGCACGCAGUCUAUACAAAGAACUCCAAAGGCUCAAUGCUAGUUGGAGUUUAUGUCGACGAUCUGAUUAUCACUGUAGAUAGCGUACAAGAAAUUGAAGGUUUCAAGGCGCAAAUGAAGAACAAGUUUAGCAUGAGUGAUCUGGGAUUGCUCAGCUAUUACUUGGGCAUCGAAGUGAAGCAAACCUCCGGAGAAAUUUCCCUAUGUCAAUCGGCUUACGCGGUCAAGUUAUUGGACAAGUGUGGCAUGUCAGAUUGCUACGCGACACAAGUUCCAAUGGACCAACGUCACAAGUUGAGCAAGCGUAGCUCAAAUCCGCCGGUGGACACCACAAUGUAUCGAAGCAUUGUGGGCAGCCUAAGAUAUUUGGUGCAUACCCGACCUGACUUGGCUUAUUCAGUCGGGAUCGUGAGUCGUUUCAUGGAGAAUCCGACAACCGAGCACAUGAGCGCGGUCAAUCAAAUCUUGCACUAUGUGAAAGGCACCAUUAAUCUUUGUUGCACGUACAGAAAGGGAAAGGAAGGAUUGAUCCUUCGUGGAUAUUCAGAUAGUGACAUGGCAGGUGAUGUUGAUGACCGAAAGAGCACAACGGGCAUGGUUUUCUACCUUGGCCCGAAUCCGAUUAGUUGGAAUUCUCAGAAGCAAAAGGUGGUGGCACUGUCUUCAUGCGAGGUAGAAUACAUAGCGGCAAGCACGGCGGCUUGUCAAGCAGUGUGGCUGAGAAGACUCCUAGCUAUUCUUGCAAAGCGGGAGGUGCAGAAGGUGUCACUGAAGAUCGAUAACCAAGCUGCAAUCUCGUUGUGCAAAAAUCCGGUUCAUCACGAAAGGAGCAAGCACAUAGAUACCCGGUUCCACCAUAUCUGGGAGUGCAUUGAAGAAGGGUUGAUCGAGGUUCAACAUGUGAACACGAAAGACCAACUUGCCGAUAUUUUCACCAAGUCCCUCGGUCGACAGAAGUUCAUCGAGAUGAGGAGGAAAGUCUGAGUGCAAGAAGUGAAGUCAAGCAACAAGAUUAAGGAGGUGAAUGUAGAAGUUAAUCAUGUUGUUUCUUUAGGAUUAGGAAAGAAAGCCAAACCGAGUCCUAGUAGUAUUAGGAUUCCUAGUCCUAGUCUAUUUCCAUAGUCCCUUGUGGACGUGUAUAAAAGACACCCUAGGGGUGUUGAUUGUAACACCAGAAAAACGAAAAGCAAUAAAAAGCAAAGGCUCGACACGGGCCUUUAGCCAUCAAAUCCAUCGAUUAGUUUUAUUCGUGUUGCUAGUUACGCAAGUUCCGUCAAGUAGCCGGUCGAAGCAAGAAUCGCGUAGGCACGCCUGUACAGCUGCAUACGCACGUUCAAAAGCCAACAUUGUCAGCCUUUAUUAUGCAUGGAUGGACGGUCACUCGCUCCCUUGUUUUGAGCAGCAUGUUUUGUUCUAUAUUCUUCUCUCUUGUAGGACCCCAGUAUAUAUGCCAUCUUAUUUGACUUCAUCUGUGUUGUUCCGUGUGUUGGUUUCAUCAUUGUCCGCUCCGAUCUGAUAUGUACAAGCUGUUGUUGUUGCUGCUGUAGGUGGACAAGGAAGCCCUCAUCCCCAUGGCUGCUACUCCUUCAGGUGAACAACAAAACCCUAACGGUGACAGAGGUGGUGAGCUCCAUCGCGUGCAAAUCAGAUCUUAAUGUAGUAGCUUCCAGCAAGUUUUUCUUUCCCGCUACUCAUAACUGAAUGAACAUGUUGAUAAAAAUAUAUGCUAUAUAUAUAUAUAUGCAUCUAAAUUCGUGUAUCUUGUUGGAACCCGUACUGCAGAAAACAGAUAUUAUCCUAAAUCUUUCAAAUCUUAGGAUUUAAUUAAUUACAAGUUGUUGGAACCCCUACUGUAGAAAACUGAUAGUAUCCUAAAUCUUUCAAAAUAUUAGGAUUUAAUUAAUUGCCGCCAGAUACUGCCCACGUCAAGUUAAAUCAUGUCAUAAUAUCCUCUAAGGUGUUGUUUCGUAAACUGAACAGUAUGAACACCGGAACAAUGUUAAUAUGCUCAUACAUAAAACAACAGUAUGAACACCGGAACUGUAUGAACACCGGAACAAUGUUAAUACACCGGAACACCAGAGCAAUGUUAAUAUGGUUCUUGAAUUUAUUGUUCUGUUUUAUUGUUAGCAUAUAUUAUCCAUAUUGAGACUGAACAUGUGGCUUUUCUUAUCAUGUACAAGAGAGUUACAUGCUAAUAUUUUUGAAGAAGCUGGAAGUCCAAGUCAAUCACUUGCUUUAGAUGUUUGUUGUAAUGUCAAAUUUUCUGGGAAUAUUGACGUAUUGUUUAUCUUGCUGAGAGUUUGAUGUAUAUUUGCCUGCUAAAUUUAUUAUUCAAAUUCUAGGAUUUAUGUUCAAAUCCUUGGAAUAUUAUUCUGUGUUUCCUUGGAAUGCAUUCUUGGAUUAAAGUGGUCAAAAAGAGAAUAUAUUAGUAUUAAAUUGAGGUUGAUUCUAAGUUUGUGCUGUCAUCUGUAUUUGAAAUAAAGAGGCCUGACCCAAAUGAAACACUGGCCGAAAUGUGUAUUGGAUCAGAUAUAUUUGUGCCUUCAUAAUGCUACAGGCCAAAAAGAAUUGGAUUACAAAAAGUACAAAGUCCAACAAAUAAAUGGACCGUAAACAUCUCGAGGCCCAGAAUUGAAAUGGGCUGCAAAAAACCCAAAGCAGGCAACCAAAACUGAGAGAAAAAAAACAAUAAAUGGGCUGAAUUGUUGGGCUCGGCCCAUAUAGACACCGAACUGGACUGGGUUGAUUGUAAUCAACGACCUUUCCGUUCGGUCGCAAUUUUGCCAUGUCAGCUUGCCACGUCAGAUCCGACGUGGUGUGUGCAGAUUGCGUGCAAUCAAAAAAUUGGUCGUAGAACCAACGACCUUUCAUUUUGGUCGUUAUAGUUCAUUAGAGACCCUCAGCUUUUGACCUUCUGUUUUUGGUCGUAAAAAUGUCGUAAAUGGAAACCAACGACCAUUCGGUGACAAAUAUUGAAGGUCGUAAGUUAGCAUAUUUCUUCUAGUGCCAUCUCACCAUCCACCUAGCGGAAAGAGGCGCCACACACGUGAAUUUUUUUCCAUGUUUUUUGAUGUAUCGGAUAUUACAUGGUAUAUCCAGUUUGUUAUUGUAUGUUAGUUUUAGUAGUUAGCUCCUCAUAAUUAACUUUUCAAUAGUUUUUCAGUAUCUGAUGACUUAUGUUGUUGAACAUUGAUAACUCAGUUAGACUUUCCUCAUAGUUUAUUCCUACAUCAUUUGAUAACUAUUUUGUGCUUGUAACUUCUGUUAAAAAAUUUAUGCAGGGCACCUAGGAAACUAGAUGCUAUCAAACAAGUUAUUAUGGCUAAAGCUUCGUCCAGUGUAUCACGAACAAGGUAUUUGCAGUGCUUUCUCGUUUGCGUUUUCCUUGAACAUUAUUAUUUUUGCACUGAAUUAUUAUAUGUGUCAAUUUAAUGAAGAUAAAACGCUGGUAUUUUUUGUUCAUAUCAUCUGAUAACUUUAUAUUAUUUAAUCAUUGAUAUCUUAGUAAUAAUUUCCUCGUAGUUUUUAUGCCUGAAUCAUGUCAUAACUUUUUUGUGUUGGUAACAUCUGGUAACUUGAGUUUACCAACAUGUGUAACUUCUUCAGCACAGAGUUGAAUCCCUCACUUCUUGAUGUUGUCUACAAGAAUGGAAAAAAACGUGGAUGUAGUAUGCCAGGACCAACAUUCCGUGUUUUCCCACAUCCAAUGGAAAUGCUCGUUGUCAGUCUGGCCAUAUGUGUCCAUCAUUACCCACCAUUUGUGUUCAAACUCUUCAACUGGAUUCAAAACAGAAACAUGAUAACAUCAGGGCUUGAAUGGUGGUAACCUUAGUUCAAACAGAUUGGUAACUUAAACACUGUAAUGUUGAUAAUUCUAUCACAAACACUUGGUCAUUUUAUUUCAAGCAACAUGGUAACUACAGUGCACAUACAAUUAUUUUUUGCACGACGAAUACUUCUUGUUGUUUGUACUUCAAGCAUCAAUUUAACUAGCAAACACAACAUAUAUAUUUAUCAAUCACAUCUAGUUGGGGAUGCAAAGUUAUUUUGUGUAUGCAACAAACAUGAUAGUUUCAACACAAAAAAAUAUGCACGUAUCUUGGCUAUACUUUUGUGGUAACUUAUCACUUUUUUUACAUGGUGACUGGUGACCACAUGCAUGUGAGCUCAUUUGUGUUUAAGGUAGUUUGGGUGUGAAGUAAAAUACCGGUCAAGCUGUUGUCAACACAAUCCUUGAAUGCCUUGUUUAGUGGUUCAUCAUCAGCCAUCACCUUCCCAAGCUUCUCGUGGGCCUUCUUCAUUAUAUGUCAGCGGCAAUUCCUGUGUACUAUCCCGAUGAACACUUCGUGAAUAGCACUCCCAUUGCAAAAUAUUGAUCUGUUAUUAUGUUCUUUUGCACAACUCCACCCAUUGCAUCCAAGAAUGCAUUAAACAACCACACAAAGUUACCAGAUAGUUCAUUGUGAACAAUCCCACAACCAAACUGGAUUGACUGGCCAUGGUUAUUAAUGCCAAUGAAGGGCGCACAGGGCAUCUUGAACAUGUUUGGCAUGUAUGUUGUGUUGAAUGAGAUGAUGUCAUUGUAUCUAGCAUACACCCUGCGCGACGCACCAUCUAUCCAGAACAAAUUUUCCACUCUGUCCUCGUCGUCAAGUUUAAUUCUCCAAUAGAAAUCUGGAUCUUGUGCCUUCAAAUCUUGGAAGUAUGAGAUUGUGCUUCCCACAUCAGUGUGGCGGUACUCCAUGCGGAACUUAGCUCGCUGGUUUGCGAUGUCCUUUGUCGUGUAUGGUACAUCGUUAGGAUUCCUGUAGAAUAAUGACAUUAGUUGAAUUUGUCUUGAUGUCUCUAUGUUGCAUUUGUGCAGUAUCUUCAAGAAGUCCUACUCAUCCUUGGGAAUGUUUCUAUGUGAUGAUAGGAACUUUAUCAGGGAUGGCUUUCUGAUUAGAGGGUGGUUGUGGUUGUCGUUGAAGUGUUUUACGAUCCACCACACAUCCGUGUGCGUAAUGUAUAGGUGGGCUUGACAUUCUGUCCUCACAACCUUACCUCUUUUCCUCUUCUUCAUGAUGUCGUUUGGGUCCUGCACAUCCUGUGUCUCCUCCUUGUUAUUUUUUGGCUUGCCGUUUUCCCCACAAACCAAUAGGAAUAUCCUUAUAGUACCGUCCUUUUUUUGUUUUCCUGUAUUCCAGCCUUAUCCCAAACCCAUGCCUGAGCGCAUAUAACUUGUAGUCAUCAUAAUCUUCCUUAUAAGUGUCGAACUUCAUUGUUUCAUCAGGAGGCUUUGGUGUGGAGUAGGCCUCGGUGUUUAUGUCUCCAUGUUCAGCAUUCACCCCUCUUGUUUUUUAUCUUGCUCGCUCGCUGACUGACUGAUCAAAGAAGCUUUCUCUCCCCCUAUGCCACUAGUAGUUAGUUCUUUAUUUCGCUCUCCGACCACUGCCUUGCCUCUAGAUGUAGCACCUGUAGUGUUCUUGAAAAUGUUAGUUUGUCCGGUAAUUUGUAGAUCAAAAUUUAGUGGUAAUUUACACCCCACUGCCCUGGUAAUUUUUUCAUGUAGUAAUCUCUUGGUAGUUGUAAACUCAAACACAUGGUAAUUGUAAUGCAAAUUGCAUGAUGAUUUCGAUGUAGUGAGUGUGGUAAUUGUACCAACUUGCAUGGUAACUUUUAUGCAUUAAGUUUGUCGGUGUUUCUUUUUGUGCAAUGAUGGAUGGUAAAUGUAAUGCAUUUUUGCAUGGUAACUUGCUUGUAGUAAAUGUGGUAGUUGUAAACAACACGGAUGGUAAUUGGAAUUCUAGUUGGAUGGUAACUUCUUGUGUAUAACAAGGUGGUAGUUGUGACUAAUGCAUGGUAAAUGUUACCUUUGUCUGCAUUGUUGAUGUUGGCAGAACCAAAGCUUACCGUAGGUGCAUCCUCACAUUGCUUGUUUGUCCCCACACCACUCAUCACGAUAUCCGCAUUACCCCCGUUGUCUUGCACCAUUUUGUGUGGCAACACCUGUUAGCACAUAUAAUCAUCCAUUAAUUCAACACUUACAAGCAAUAUUGGUUAUUUCUUCACAGCAAUUAUCAUUUUCUUUUUUUGCACUGAUUACUUCAUUUUUAUAACAUGUAUCACUUGAGAAGUGACCAGCACAUGAGCAUAUGACAACGAUAGUAUCUACAACCUCAUUUCAUCAACAUCGUGUCUUAUCACUCAGUUCUGAUUGCAACAAUGUAAAUCGACACAUGGUAUUCUUGUAGUGUUAGCGCCCUAGUUUUGUGUACAUCCAUGGGCUGAUAACUAGUACGUAUAGAGUUUUUCUGGUAAAUUCUUCUGAAUUAGGAUGAUAACUUUUUUCUUUCCUCGGUUGGUGUGCCCUGUUUGUUAUUGACAUGCAAUAAUGGUUCGUAUCGUGAAUAAAAACAGAUGUUUUUUUUACAGUGAAUAAGUGUUAAAGGAUGUUUUUUUCAAAUUUUAUUCUUCUUUUUAGUGAUAGCUUUGUGCAUACAUUAUGGUAAUCUCUAUUGAUUUUAAAUGGUAAAUCAAUUAUUAAUGAGAAAUUUUAAACAUGUUGUUUUAACUGGCUACGAAAAAAGAUAGUUCAACACAAUCUUGAUGGUAACCUAUGUGUGUUCGAGUGGUAACUCAAUGAAGAGGGAUGUAAAAAUAGAUGUAUGAUGUGUAGGCUAGGAAAUAAGCUCUAUUCUACCAACUUUUGGGCUUUUAAAAGGCAUCUUAAAGCAAUCUUUAUGGUAACUUGUACGGAUUUGAAUGGUAACUCAAUCAUGAGUGAGGAGUUCAACACAUGUAGGAUUUGUAGGCCAGUAAAAGGGCUAUCUUUUUAUCUCAUGUAUUUGCCUUGAUUUUCUUGGUAUGAAAUGAAAAUGAAGCAUUGUAGAUGGAGUUUGAAUCACUUACUUCUUUGGUUUUCUUCUUGAUUCUGGUGAAAAUCAGACAAACUAGGUAAUUAGCGUUGUAGUAUGUGGUAAUUCUGGUAUUGAUAAAGUGGUAAUCCCGGAUGUCCCUCAAAUCCUUGUGUAUGGGGGAUUAGUUGUCCUGGUAUGGUUGAUGUGUUUUUGGUGGAUCAGAUUGGGGAAGCAGCCCGUCGGCGAUGGAGGCACGUCAGGGAGGGAGGAGGAGAACGGAUUGGGGAAGGAUUCUCGUAGGGUUGGCGUGGUAAUUAUUGCGGGGGUAAGGGUUGUCUUGGGCCUCAUGCGAUGCGCGCGCCCUCGCAUGGAUGGGCCUCGCGAGCGGGGUGCCUCAUGUUCAUGGAGGGAGAAUCGUGCGGAUGUAUCCCUUACACACCGACCGGUUGGUGGUUAGCACAAUCCAUCAUAUAAUUAAUGUGUAUUAGUAGUCUCUUGUUGUUGCGGUUUUUGCAAUGAGGACAUUGUUUCCCAAUAUAUAUUGCACUACUGGUAACUUGUAUUUUUGACAUCAGGUGUGAUUCAAUUUUUAAUAUUUCCCCAUUAUGCCUACUAUUUUUAGAUGGUUGAACCUCGUGGGCUUGGUGAUGUUGAGAUGACUGAAGAGCAGAGGCGAGUUUAUUUGGAAGAAGAAAUAAAGAAUGAGGAGUAGGAAAAUUAAAAGAAGGAGAUGUAAGAACGACCUAGAAAAAGGUAGAUGAAAAAAAGUUAACAGAUGUGGGAUCACUUUUCUAUGUGUUAUGUUUUAAAGUGUAAUAAUAUGGUUGUGUAACUUGUGUUUGGUUGAACUUGUACUUUGGUUAUGUGUUGUGCUCGGACUUGGACUUUGGUUUUGUAUUGGAGUUCUAUUACUAUAUUCUCACUUAUUAGUGUGGGUUUUAUAAGUUGAUUGGUUAUGCAUCUCUCACUUUUAUGAAAUCCUUGUAUCUGAUAUUAUGUGAUAUUUGACAAGAUAUGAAUAUGUUCCACUUCUAUGCAUUUUCCAAUUUUGUGUUGUUAUAUUGCCAAACAAAUUGUUUACAAUAUGCUUGUUUAUAUGCUCUGAAAGUACAUUAUAUGUAGUCCAAUUUUAGUGCCAAAUUCGGUUUCCAAUUUUGCAAACCGAAUUCACAAAAAAACAGGGGGGGGGAAAACCAAAAUUUUGGUUUCUACUCACCGCCCAUGCCUAAUUGCUAGUAGUGUUGAUUACAUCUUGUAGUUGAUGCUAGGUUGUUUAUUU
This 13178-nucleotide long non-coding RNA is filed under the name Hordeum vulgare. RNAcentral's name for it is "long non-coding RNA (HVUL_LNC004974)". The record is from RNAcentral. Lineage: Eukaryota; Viridiplantae; Streptophyta; Magnoliopsida; Poales; Poaceae.